UACGUAGGGUGCAAGCGUUGUCCGGAAUUACUGGGCGUAAAGCGCACGUAGGCGGACAUUUAAGUCAGGGGUGAAAUCCCAGAGCUCAACUCUGGAACUGCCUUUGAUACUGGGUGUCUUGAGUAUGGAAGAGGUGAGUGGAAUUCCGAGUGUAGAGGUGAAAUUCGUAGAUAUUCGGAAGAACACCAGUGGCGAAGGCGACUUACUGGACACAUAUUGACGCUGAGGUGCGAAAGCGUGGGGAGCAAACAGG
This 253-nucleotide ribosomal RNA is filed under the name uncultured bacterium. Its description in RNAcentral is "partial 16S ribosomal RNA". It matches the Rfam family "Bacterial small subunit ribosomal RNA", at positions 524 to 776 of the family's 1533-position model. The record is from RNAcentral.